CCCGCCCGCCGGACACGGGCUGCUCCUCCCCGACCGAAGGGCAGCGGCGGGAAAGAGCCCCGAGCGAUUGCCAGACCGGCCCCGCGCGGCGCGGGAGGCCCCGCGCGCCCUCUCCCCCGCCCUCCUCCGCGUGCACUUCACCCCAAGUCCCGGGGCCGCAGACCCACCUCUUCCUCCAGAGUGCCGCCGGAGCCCGAGCCCGUGCCGGUGCCCGUGCUGGUGCUGUGCUCGCCGUCCGGCUUCAGAUGGAAGCCUAAAUGGAAACCUAAAUGGAAGCCUAAAAUAUAGGAGCUAUCUUUCCCAGUGAUACAUUCCUUUAAUAAAUUGUUGAACACGUACU
Herpailurus yagouaroundi (jaguarundi) is the source of this 340-nucleotide long non-coding RNA. RefSeq lists it as uncharacterized. The record is from RefSeq and is a predicted model, not a curated record. Lineage: Eukaryota; Metazoa; Chordata; Mammalia; Carnivora; Felidae. The transcript has 2 exons.